This 103-nucleotide microRNA precursor is filed under the name Marmota monax (woodchuck). The record is from RNAcentral. Lineage: Eukaryota; Metazoa; Chordata; Mammalia; Rodentia; Sciuridae.
AGUGGGAUAACUGGGUCAAAUGGUGGUUCUAUUCCAAGUUUUCUGAGGAAUCUCCAUACUACUUUCCAGAAUGAUCUCACUGAUUUGCAGUCCUACCAGCAAU